This 253-nucleotide ribosomal RNA is filed under the name uncultured bacterium. RNAcentral's name for it is "partial 16S ribosomal RNA". It matches the Rfam family "Bacterial small subunit ribosomal RNA", at positions 524 to 776 of the family's 1533-position model. The record is from RNAcentral.
GACGAACUGUGCAAACGUUAUUCGGAAUCACUGGGCUUAAAGGGUGCGUAGGCGGUCUGUUAAGUAGGGUGUGAAAGCCUCUGGCCUAACCAGAGAAUUGCGCCCUAAACUGUCAGGCUUGAGUGAGGUAGGGGUGUGUGGAACUUCCAGUGGAGCGGUGAAAUGUGUUGAUAUUGGAAGGAACGCCGGUGGCGAAAGCGACACACUGGACCUUGUCUGACGCUGAGGCACGAAAGCCAGGGGAGCAAACGGG